AGAGUUUGAUCAUGGCUCAGGAUAAACGCUGGCGGCGUGCCUAACACAUGCAAGUCGAACGCUCUCUUCUUUCGGGAAGAGGGAGUGGCGGACGGGUGAGUAACACGUGGGCCACCUACCCCCAGGUGAGGAAUACCGGCGAGAAAUCGCCGACAACACCGCAUACGCUUGGCACCCGCCAAGCAAAGUUCCGCUUCGGUGGGACGCCUGAGGAUGGGCCUGCGGCCGAUUAGCUAGUUGGUGAGGUAACGGCCCACCAAGGCGACGAUCGGUAGCUGGUCUGAGAGGAUGAUCAGCCACACUGGGAUUGAGAACGGCCCAGACUCCUACGGGGGGCAGCAGUGAGGAAUUUUCGGCAAUGGGGGCAACCCUGACCGAGCAACGCCGCGUGCAGGAGGACGGCCUUCGGGUUGUAAACUGCUUUUCUUGGGGACGAGCAAGGACGGUACCCAAGCAAUAAGCCCCGGCUAACUACGUGCCAGCAGCCGCGGUAAUACGUAGGGGGCAAGCGUUGUCCGGAGUUACUGGGCGUAAAGCGCACGCAGGCGGUCGGCUGCGUAGGUGGUGACAGUCCUCGGCUUACCUGAGGAAGCGCUGCCUAAACGGGUCGACUUGAGGGCCAGAGAGGGACACGGAACUCCGGGUGGAGCGGUGAAAUGCGUAGAGAUCCGGAAGAACACCAAAGGCGAAGGCAGUGUCCUGGCUGGCUCCUGACGCUCAGGUGCGAAAGCUAGGGGAGCAAACAGGAUUAGAUACCCUAGUAGUCC
RNAcentral lists this ribosomal RNA (767 nucleotides) under uncultured bacterium. RNAcentral's name for it is "bacterial SSU rRNA". It matches the Rfam family "Bacterial small subunit ribosomal RNA", at positions 8 to 796 of the family's 1533-position model. The record is from RNAcentral.